AGUCCCGCAAGGGAUUAGUAGAGUGGCAAACGGGUGAGUAACACGUGGGUGACCUGCCUUCGAGCGGGGGAUAACGUUCCGAAAGGAACGCUAAUACCGCAUAACAUCCUGUCUUUUAAGAGAUGGUGAUCAAAGCCGGGGAUUCGCAAGAACCUGGCACUUGAAGAGGGGCCCGCGCCUGAUUAGCUAGUUGGUGGGGUAAUGGCCUACCAAGGCAACGAUCAGUAUCCGGCCUGAGAGGGCGGACGGACACACUGGGACUGAGACACGGCCCAGACUCCUACGGGAGGCAGCAGUGGGGAAUUGUUCGCAAUGGGCGCAAGCCUGACGACGCAACGCCGCGUGGAGGAUGAAGACCUUUGGGUCGUAAACUCCUUUCGAUCGAGACGAAUGUUUUUCGGGUGAACAAUCCGGAAAAGUGACGGUACCGAGAGAAGAAGCCCCGGCUAACUCUGUGCCAGCAGCCGCGGUAAUACAGGGGGGGCAAGCGUUGUUCGGAAUUACUGGGCGUAAAGGGCUCGUAGGUGGCCAACUAAGUCAGACGUGAAAUCCCUCAGCUUAACUGGGGAACUGCGUCUGAUACUGGAUGGCUUGAGUUUGGGAGAGGGAUGCGGAAUUCCAGGUGUAGCGGUGAAAUGCGUAGAUAUCUGGAGGAACACCGGUGGCGAAGGCGGCAUCCUGGACCAACACUGACACUGAGGAGCGAAAGCCAGGGGAGCAAACGGGAUUAGAUACCCCGGUAGUCCUGGCCCUAAACGAUGAAUGCUUGGUGUGGCGGGUAUCGAUCCCUGCCGUGCCGAAGCUAACGCAUUAAGCAUUCCGUCUGGGGAGUACGGUCGCAAGGCUG
This 847-nucleotide ribosomal RNA is filed under the name uncultured Acidobacteriota bacterium. Its description in RNAcentral is "bacterial SSU rRNA". It matches the Rfam family "Bacterial small subunit ribosomal RNA", at positions 73 to 896 of the family's 1533-position model. Lineage: Bacteria; Pseudomonadati; Acidobacteriota. The record is from RNAcentral.